GCACAACAUCCAGCUCCUGGACACUUCAGACUGUAAUUUGGAAACAUGCACAUGUCUGGCUCCAGGACCAUGGGACUUUCUAUCUCCUCUGGGGAACAGAAAUGUGAACAGUGAGAAGGACACAGCAUCUAGGACUGUUGGUGUUUUCUGGUCGUGUAGAAGAACUUUCUGGUCCCCAGACUUGGUGACCUAAAUCCAGUGAAACUCAAGGAGACACUACUCAGGAGGACUUUUUUUUUUAUCUGACUCUGGUAAGC
Molecule: long non-coding RNA, 257 nt
Filed under: Castor canadensis (American beaver)
Lineage: Eukaryota; Metazoa; Chordata; Mammalia; Rodentia; Castoridae
Description: lncRNA (ENSCCNG00000017447.1)
Source: RNAcentral